UAGAGCCAGCAAGAUUUGCUUUGGUUUUUUUAAAGCAGAAAACACCAAAAAGUUGGCUGUGGUUUCAGCUGCUAUCGCUGGAGAUUUGUACUGCUGACUACCAAUCCUAAAAGAGUUAACCUGUAUGUAAGUAUGACUCAGAAGCAGAGAAGGAGAUGCAAGGCUGAGAGCUGGGGAGGAAGCGCAGAAACAGAGGUGAGGAACAGAAUAAUUGCCAAAAAAAGGUGCAGAGUCCAGGAGCGACGUUCCCUCCGGUCUGCCUGGCCCUGGCACCGCUGGCACGGGCUCCCUGGAAAGCUGCAGUUCCGCUCUUAUAACACAAGGAGCAGGCUGGAGAAUUUAGAGCUGCGUCACAGAGCUCAGCGAGAGAGUGAGAGAGCAAGCUCCGUCGAUAGGUCUACCAGCAACAGCCCUGCUGCAGCAAGAGGGGAGAGAGGCAGCAAGAGAGGCAGAGAGGGCUCCAGGAAGAGAAGUGGCACCAACACCACGGACUGGGCUCCUGCCACCAUCCACUGCCAUUUGCACCUCGUACUGGGGCUCGCUUGGCGUAGGAGGCUUCGCCCAUUGACGAUGCUGGAGACCCGGCGCGCUUAAUCCCACGGGGAGGGAGAGUGGGCAGACACCGAAAGGGUUAACGGGAAGGAAAAUUCUGGAACCUUCUCUUCUGCGGCGCUCCAGAGCGAGCGGAGGGCUGAGGACUGCGCAGAUGGUGCACGGGCACGGCUCCUCGGUCCGGUUCGUCUCCCUCACCGCCCAGCAAUGAAGAUGGCAGCUCUGCCUGGAAGUGCUGAGGACACAGCCAGCCUUGAGCUUGGUCCUUCUGGCCGAGGAAGUCUCCCGAUUAUGCAGUGGAGUGGUAACUUUGCUUUCUCGUACAACAGGGGCCAUUCUUCCAUAGCCUUUCAUCAUUCUGAGGCUUACCCAAGUUUCAGGAUGUGCUAGCAGGAGUGUUUAAUCUCUGUUACUCACUGGCUGACAUCUCCAGCGUCAGGGCUGGUUGUUUAGCAACAACUGCGCGGCCGCCGUCCCCAUCGCCUGGGCUGCAGCCUGGCCCCUGCAGGGUGCUCUGGGAGACAGGGAGAGAGGGCAGGGCUGGAUUUACACCCCGGAUGGAAUUUUGGAGUUUGGUCGUGCAGGCCGCAGGCGCUGCGGAUUUUUCGCGACGCCGUCCUUUGCGCAGGGCCGCCAUUUCCAACGGCAGUGCGGCGCAGGGACGGGGAGGGAAGAACCCAACAGACUGUACGUGCCACUCCCCACUUUCUUUCCCUCUUUCCCAUCUCCAUCUUUCCUCCUUCCCCUCCUUUCCUGCCAGAUUCCAUAGGGAAUUUCAGCCUCUUACUGCAGUCAUCACAACCCCUCCUGACUCACUGAGCCUUCGCUGGCUGUAGCUGGCUCCCUCGGAGCAUCCUUGCCUCCCGCAGCGCCAGAUCCGCAGAGCAGGGGAACAACAGGAACAGCAGCGACAACGGUGGUCCCUGCAGACAGACAGACAGACAGACAGGCAUAAACACACACACACAUGAGAACAGUCCCAGGCAGCUGUGGAGUGGGGUCUGUACGGCCAGGAGCUGGACUAAGGCAUGGUGCUGGGCUGUGUGGAUGAUGGGUGGGUUGAGUCUGUUUUCCCGAGUGUUGGUUGCAUGGACAGCUCUUUGUGGUUUUCCCCAUCAUGGUUUUGGGGUGGAAAAGCCCUGACUUUGUAAAGCUGGUGCUGUUUCAUGGCUUUCAAGGAGGUGCCACUGGCUGCUGAGUGUGUUCAGUGCAGGGAUGUAUUUGGUUUAAUUUCUCUCGCCACCAUGUUUUGGCCACAGCGAUGGUUUAACUGUGCCCAAACGCAGGGAGGGUAGGGAGACGGAUAUAAGAGGAAUUAUUUCAAUGUUCAACUCCCGCAGUAAAUCUCAUUACUCAGGAAUUGAGGUUACUGUCAGCAGGUAAAUCUGUGGGACUGGCAGGAAACAAGGCUAAGAAGGGGACAUGGUAUAUUUCUGUAGGACAGCAGUGAUUGUGUGCACAGGGGUGGCACUGUCACCGUGAGCUGUACCUGGGUAACUGCUCCGUGAUCGUUUUCCGCACAGUGCCGCAAAAGGACUGGGGAAAGCUGUGAUUUCUCCCUCCCUCUGACACUUGUGUGUGUGACACUGUAUGAGCUGAUUCAUUUUCCUGUAUCUGGGUUUCCCUGCUCUGGGGAGUGGGGUUUGCUCUGCCUCGGCCUUGGUGCAGCACCGUGACGCAGCGUUCGGUACCACGCCGACAAAACACACGCAAUUUUCUCGGGCGUUCUGACCGCUCGGGGACCGCGGGAUUCGGGGAAGGAAGGGCAGGAUUUCACAAGCCCAUGGUAUAAAUUUAAAAGCAUUACCUCUUCUUGUCUGCUAGCGAAGGAAGGCUCUGUGAGGGACGAGACAGCCAUGAUCUCCUCCUGCUCUUGUUUUGCCGAUGGUCAUGUUACAUCUGUGACGCAGACGAAUUUUGCUUUUGGUUCCUGUCGGUGCUUUAGGGAGUGGAGCUGAUGGGGGCACAAGCUUGAAUACAGUUAGAAAUAUUUGUUUCAUACUGAUGUUAGAGCUGAAACUACACCUGAAGGGUCAGGGGUAUCAGGUCCACCUAGUGACCCCCCAAAUGGUGAAGGAAUUCGGGUGAGCCCAAGCACCCCUGGCCAUUUUGCUGCUCGCAGAGCAGGCUCGGAGCCUGCAGCUCUGCUGCUGCUGCUGUUCAUUUCCAUGUUAUACAAAUACAGCAUUGGGCUCUGUGUCAGGAGCUUUCUGAUGCUGUGAGAAGCUUAGAGUCUACAAGCAAAUGUUUUUCUUUUCUUAUUUGGGAACAUUCAUUAAAACGUCUAAAUGCCAAGUGUUCUACCCUCUCUCCUCUGACAAAUCUCUCCUAGACCUAUCCAGAAAAUUCAGUGCUGCUGCGUAGGAUUUUUUAAACUUUAUCAUGGUGUUUUCUUACAGUUUAAUAUGGGUAUGGCCGGGGGGGGAGAGUAAGAUUUAAUUUGGCUAAAUAUCUGUAAUGCUGAUGUUAAUGGACAAGGAUGUAAGCAAGAGAUAAGAGUUGUCCAUAUCUCCUUUAUCUCUGUAUUUAGACAGUCCCAGGCCCAGGCUGUGAGGAAAAAAGGGAAUACUCUAUCCCAUUCCCACCCACCCAAACAAUUUCAGUGCAAAGGCAGCAGGAGAAAAGGCCAAGCUGGAAUGUCACAAAAUGGUUCCACCAGCCCUCCGAGAUGCCAGUGCCGUUUAUCCUGGCACGGCUCCGAGAGCGGCACCGUGAGCUGCCUGCUGCAAGGUCAUUCCCCUGACUCAUGGUCAGCAACCAGUUUGGUUCAGGAACUCCCAAUCUACUUCUCUUGCAACUGUGCCCAUGCCUGAACCUGGAGGGGAGGCUUGAAAAUUAACAUUACUGCAGCAGUGGGGACACCGAGCCCAAAACUGUAGCUCCAAAAAAACCCCAUGUCUCUGAAAGACUUUAAAAUCCAUUUCUCUAAUUUGUUUCCUUGCUAGCUCCAAAAACUUUCCACUAGUUCCCUCAUCCCCUUUUCCCCCAAGACUUUCUCUGGACUGCUGGGAACCAGGAGUGACGUGUAUUUAAGGGCUCACACUCCGUUCUAGGACGAAAAUCUCUGUGUACAUUUGCAUUUCUGUGGCUAUCAGGUGGGCUCUGCAGGCUCCCCAGAGCCUGUCAAGCCAGGAGUGUCUCUCAGGUGCUUUCAGUUUCAGGUACCUCAGCUCAGGAGCUGUCUUGUCCCCUCCCAAGUUUCCCCAUUUUUCCUGGUGUUCCUAUUUGCCCAUCCCACUCAUAUUUUCAGCUGUCUCAGGACAACAGCAGCCAUGGGUAUACUCAGGGAUGGCUCUGGUUGUCUCAGCCUCCCAGGCAGCAGAGCAGUGGUUAAUGCCUCUGAGCAAAAGAACUUAUUUAGUGCCCAAAGUUCAACUUGGGGGCACAUUCUGUGGACAGAGAGGGACAGGAGAGCAGUGCAGGCCAAGCAGGGCCACCAGCAGAGCCCUCCUGCUCCCAGAGCUGCCAGCCCACCUCGCCAAGCCCCCAGCCUGACCCUGCCCACCAUGAGCCUUCGCCUUCCUCAUCAUCACUGCCUGGUUUCCAAAGGGACAGAACCUGGCUGCCAAGCCCGAUGCCAGUGACGGCUCCUCGCCUACAGGGAGGCAGAUGUGAUGGCUCGUCUGCUAAAAACUGAGCCAACACACUGUGAUUCAGCCCUCCAGCUUUCCAAGGAAGAGCUAUUUCUGAGUGAGGCUCAUCUCUGCAGCUCCCCCCACAAACACUCACGGCGCUCAGGAGUCCAACAGCAGCCACUGGGUUGGCAUUUGGAUCUCCAGCCCAAAUGUUCCUAACACACAGUGACAUUUCAGGGAUGGAAUGAUGGAAACCCUGGGAACAGGGACAGACCAGCAGCUCGUGUGCUGGGGGGUCAGCCAGGAGUGUUUGGUCAGUGCUUCUCUCCAGCUGUUUUGCCAGGUCCUUGUACUGCAGGCAGAGUUAAACUAAAGGCUUGUUUUCAGCUGCCUGGUUUAAAGGCAGGUUAUACUUCAGUGAACAUCUGGCUGGGUUUGUUUCCUUAUGCUCCUCCCUGGCACAGGACAUUCUUUUGUCUCUAGAAUGACACAAAAGAAAAA
Long non-coding RNA from Haemorhous mexicanus (house finch), 4628 nucleotides. RefSeq lists it as uncharacterized. The transcript has 2 exons. Lineage: Eukaryota; Metazoa; Chordata; Aves; Passeriformes; Fringillidae. The record is from RefSeq and is a predicted model, not a curated record.